Molecule: transfer RNA, 19 nt
Filed under: Leptopteris superba
Lineage: Eukaryota; Viridiplantae; Streptophyta; Polypodiopsida; Osmundales; Osmundaceae
Description: partial tRNA-Lys
Source: RNAcentral
UAGAGUACUCGGCUUCUAA